RNAcentral lists this ribosomal RNA (254 nucleotides) under uncultured bacterium. RNAcentral's name for it is "partial 16S ribosomal RNA". It matches the Rfam family "Bacterial small subunit ribosomal RNA", at positions 524 to 776 of the family's 1533-position model. The record is from RNAcentral.
AACGUAGGACACAAGCGUUAUCCGGAGUUACUGGGCGUAAAGGGCGUGUAGGCGGAGAUGUAAGUCUAUUCUGAAAGCUCCUGGCUAAACUGGGAGAGGCGAAUGGAGACUGCAUAUCUAGAGUGAGGAAGAGGAAAGUGGAAUUCCGCGUGUAGUGGUGAAAUGCGUAGAGAUGCGGAGGAACACCAGUGGCGAAGGCGGCAUCCUGGACUACUACUGACGCUGAGUGAGCGAAAGCCAGGGGAGCAAACGGG